AGUAGGCUACUACAUUCGGACAUGGCGGAAGGAAGCAGGAGCAGGCUACUAAUGGAGAGCAAGAAGAAGCAUAUUUUUUUUUAGAGAGAGGAAGGAUUAAAUGUACAACAGAAGAGUAGACAAUACUCGAAAGGCAACACUUUUGGAAAGGGAUUGAUGCGUUUUGAUACUACUGGAUGCAUGUUCAGGAACGGGUGAAUCGAGUCAGUUCCGGAGUCUUCAGGAGCAUCAUCAUCAGCUGCCGCUGCCCAGGGUCCUGCCCAACCUGGCCCGUAUCCGGCGCAGUGUGGACCACAAUCAGGAGGCGCUGCAUGCCAUCAUGCUCGACUGUGUUGUGUCAUUUAAUGAUUGAUUUGGGCCAAAUCAAUUGCCUAGCAUAUAAAAUUAGCCCCAUGCAAUCCUCUUUGGAAAAAAAUAUUUAUUGUUGGUGAUCAUUUUCUCACACUACUGUUGUUCAGCUCAUCUAACUUUCCUCUGUUCUGUCCUUCCUCCUUCUUGAGGUGUGAAAAGGUCAACUCCAUGACCCUGUACCUGUGGAUCCACCAGUUCAGCAACAACAAGAGGUCAUCUGGCGUCAACCCCCAGAGCCUGCCUCCAAACUCUUGACUUCUCCAUGGUGGCCGGGGACUUCCAGGACGUCUUCACAGAGCCUAGUGAGUGACACUGGGACUGUGUGGCUACCUGCUUCUUCAUCAACACGGCGCACAAUGUCAUCGACUAUGUGGAGACCAUCUGGAACUUUCUCAAAUCUGGAGGCGUAUGGAUCAAUCUUGGCCCGCUGCUGUACCACUUUGAGAACAUGGCCAACGAGCUCAGCUACGAGGACGUCAGGGUGGCCAUUUUAAAAUAUGGAUUCCAUUUGGAGGUGGAGAGAGUCUGUCCCCACCACCUACACUAAGAGUGAUCAGUCCAUGCUGAAGUACCUGUAUGACAGACUGGAAGCGUUGCCACGACGAGAGAGCUGUGGCAGUCUGACAUUACAGCGCAACAACCGAUUGGCUGCCGUCGAGAGCAUUUAAAAAAAAAAAUAAUAAUUUUUUUUUAAGAGUAAGAAGACAAACACAAGACAAUGGAAAGCUUUACUUUAAAUGUGCUUAUUUUCUAUAUAACUCUAUAUGAACUCCCCAAUCACCUUACGUCCAAGCCUUUGAGAUUGAGACGGACACCUAUAAUGGACUGAUAUGACUAAAUCAUUCAGCCCAUGGACUGUUUGUCUUCAGUUAGAUGUAAGGUCAUGUCUCCAUGCUGACCUGAUGUGGUUGCAUGCGUGUUAGACCCGCCUCUACAGCUUCCCAAUGUAUUUAUUUUGUAAAAUACAGUGACCAACUCUGGCUAUUUAUAGUAUUUUCUCACUGGGAAAAGUCCGUUGCUGGAGUUGGUAAUACUGAGGGUCGGACAAAGUUGUUUUAAACUAAUUAUAUGAUUUGAAUUUCAGCAUUACAAACUGGAUCUAGCUACUGCCUCACGUAAUAAUAAAGGAAAACACAAUUUUAAGAAAAAAA
Long non-coding RNA from Oncorhynchus gorbuscha (pink salmon), 1502 nucleotides. RefSeq lists it as uncharacterized. The record is from RefSeq and is a predicted model, not a curated record. The transcript has 5 exons. Lineage: Eukaryota; Metazoa; Chordata; Actinopteri; Salmoniformes; Salmonidae.